Molecule: ribosomal RNA, 495 nt
Filed under: Klebsiella pneumoniae
Lineage: Bacteria; Pseudomonadati; Pseudomonadota; Gammaproteobacteria; Enterobacterales; Enterobacteriaceae
Description: partial 23S ribosomal RNA
Rfam family: Bacterial large subunit ribosomal RNA
Source: RNAcentral
UGGUGGGUAGUUUGACUGGGGCGGUCUCCUCCCAAAGCGUAACGGAGGAGCACGAAGGUUAGCUAAUCCUGGUCGGACAUCAGGAGGUUAGUGCAAUGGCAUAAGCUAGCUUGACUGCGAGCGUGACGGCGCGAGCAGGUGCGAAAGCAGGUCAUAGUGAUCCGGUGGUUCUGAAUGGAAGGGCCAUCGCUCAACGGAUAAAAGGUACUCCGGGGAUAACAGGCUGAUACCGCCCAAGAGUUCAUAUCGACGGCGGUGUUUGGCACCUCGAUGUCGGCUCAUCACAUCCUGGGGCUGAAGUAGGUCCCAAGGGUAUGGCUGUUCGCCAUUUAAAGUGGUACGCGAGCUGGGUUUAGAACGUCGUGAGACAGUUCGGUCCCUAUCUGCCGUGGGCGCUGGAGAAUUGAGGGGGGCUGCUCCUAGUACGAGAGGACCGGAGUGGACGCAUCACUGGUGUUCGGGUUGUCAUGCCAAUGGCACUGCCCGGUAGCUAAA